AAACAGAUGCUAAUACCGCAUAACAACUUGGACCGCAUGGUCCGAGCUUGAAAGAUGGCUUCGGCUAUCACUUUUGGAUGGUCCCGCGGCGUAUUAGCUAGAUGGUGGGGUAACGGCUCACCAUGGCAAUGAUACGUAGCCGACCUGAGAGGGUAAUCGGCCACAUUGGGACUGAGACACGGCCCAAACUCCUACGGGAGGCAGCAGUAGGGAAUCUUCCACAAUGGACGAAAGUCUGAUGGAGCAACGCCGCGUGAGUGAAGAAGGGUUUCGGCUCGUAAAACUCUGUUGUUAAAGAAGAACAUAUCUGAGAGUAACUGUUCAGGUAUUGACGGUAUUUAACCAGAAAGCCACGGCUAACUACGUGCCAGCAGCCGCGGUAAUACGUAGGUGGCAAGCGUUGUCCGGAUUUAUUGGGCGUAAAGCGAGCGCAGGCGGUUUUUUAAGUCUGAUGUGAAAGCCUUCGGCUCAACCGAAGAAGUGCAUCGGAAACUGGGAAACU
Molecule: ribosomal RNA, 502 nt
Filed under: Lactiplantibacillus plantarum
Lineage: Bacteria; Bacillati; Bacillota; Bacilli; Lactobacillales; Lactobacillaceae
Description: bacterial SSU rRNA
Rfam family: Bacterial small subunit ribosomal RNA
Source: RNAcentral